RNAcentral lists this ribosomal RNA (501 nucleotides) under uncultured bacterium. Its description in RNAcentral is "partial 16S ribosomal RNA". It matches the Rfam family "Bacterial small subunit ribosomal RNA", at positions 30 to 523 of the family's 1533-position model. The record is from RNAcentral.
AUUGAACGCUGGCGGCAGGCUUAACACAUACAAGUCGAGCGGAGAUGAGGUGCUUGCACCUUAUCUUAGCGGCGGACGGGUGAGUAAUGCUUAGGAAUCUGCCUAUUAGUGGGGGACAACAUUCCGAAAGGAAUGCUAAUACCGCAUACGUCCUACGGGAGAAAGCAGGGGAUCUUCGGACCUUGUGCUAAUAGAUGAGCCUAAGUCGGAUUAGCUAGUUGGUGGGGUAAAGGCCUACCAAGGCGACGAUCUGUAGCGGGUCUGAGAGGAUGAUCCGCCACACUGGGACUGAGACACGGCCCAGACUCCUACGGGAGGCAGCAGUGGGGAAUAUUGGACAAUGGGGGAAACCCUGAUCCAGCCAUGCCGCGUGUGUGAAGAAGGCCUUAUGGUUGUAAAGCACUUUAAGCGAGGAGGAGGCUACUGAGACUAAUACUCUUGGAUAGUGGACGUUACUCGCAGAAUAAGCACCGGCUAACUCUGUGCCAGCCGCCGCAGUAA